UGACAUGAGUAGCGAUAAAGGGGGUGAAAGGCCCCCUCGCCGUAAGCCCAAGGUUUCCUACGCAACGUUCAUCGGCGUAGGGUGAGUCGGCCCCUAAGGCGAGGCAGAGAUGCGUAGCUAAUGGGAAGCAGGUUAAUAUUCCUGCACCGUCGUUAGAUGCGAUGGGGGGACGGAUCGCGAAAGGUUGUCCGGGUGUUGGAAGUCCCGGUCCCUGCAUUGGAGAAGGCACUUAGGCAAAUCCGGGUGCGUAAUUCAAGGGUGUGGGGCGAGCCGCUUUAAGUGGCGAAGCAAUCGGCAGUGGUUCCAAGAAAAGCCUCUAAGCUUCAGUCUAACGAGACCGUACCGCAAACCGACACAGGUGGGCGAGAUGAGUAUUCUAAGGCGCUUGAGAGAACUCGGGAGAAGGAACUCGGCAAAUUGGUACCGUAACUUCGGGAUAAGGUACGCCCCUGUAGCUUGACUGGCCUGCGCCAGAAGGGUGAAGGGGUUGCAAUAAACUGGUGGCUGCGACUGUUUUAAAAACACAGCACUCUGCAAACACGAAAGUGGACGUAUAGGGUGUGACGCCUGCCCGGUGCCGGAAGAUUAAAUGAUGGGGUGCAAGCUCUUGAUUGAAGUCCCGGUAAACGGCGGCCGUAACAAUAACGGUCCUAAGGUAGCGAAGUUCCUUGUCGGGUAAGUUCCGACCUGCACGAAUGGCGUAACGAUGGCCACACUGUCUCCUCCCGAGACUCAGCGAAGUUGAAGUGUUUGUGAUGAUGCAAUCUACCCGCGGCUAGACGGAAAGACCCCAUGAACCUUUACUGUAGCUUUGCAUUGGACUUUGAACCGAUCUGUGUAGGAUAGGUGGGAGGCGCUGAAACCGGAACGCUAGUUUCGGUGGAGCCACCCUUGAAAUACCACCCUGGUUUGUUUGAGGUUCUAACCUAGGUCCGUAAUCCGGAUCGGGGACCGGGCAUGGUAGGCAGUUUGACUGGGGCGGUCUCCUCCCAAAGUGUAACGGAGGAGUACGAAGGUACGCUAGGUACGGUCGGAAAUCGUGCUGAUAGUGCAAUGGCAUAAGCGUGCUUAACUGCGAGACCUACAAGUCGAGCAGGUGCGAAAGCAGGUCAUAGUGAUCCGGUGGUUCUGUAUGGAAGGGCCAUCGCUCAACGGAUAAAAGGUACUCUGGGGAUAACAGGCUGAUACCGCCCAAGAGUUCAUAUCGACGGCGGUGUUUGGCACCUCGAUGUCGGCUCAUCUCAUCCUGGGGCUGUAGCCGGUCCCAAGGGUAUGGCUGUUCGCCAUUUAAAGAGGUACGUGAGCUGGGUUUAAAACGUCGUGAGACAGUUUGGUCCCUAUCUGCCGUGGGCGUUGGAAGUUUGAGAGGACCUGCUCCUAGUACGAGAGGACCGGAGUGGACGAGCCUCUGGUGUACCGGUUGUCACGCCAGUGGCAUCGCCGGGUAGCUAUGUUCGGAAGAGAUAACCGCUGAAAGCAUCUAAGCGGGAAACUCGCCUCAAGAUGAGACUUCCCUGGGAGCUUGACUCCCCUGAAGGGUCGUUCGAGACCAGGACGUUGAUAGGUCAGGUGUAUAAGUG
RNAcentral lists this ribosomal RNA (1580 nucleotides) under metagenome. RNAcentral describes it as "bacterial LSU rRNA". It matches the Rfam family "Bacterial large subunit ribosomal RNA", at positions 1298 to 2875 of the family's 2925-position model. The record is from RNAcentral.